AUCGAUGAAGAACGCAGCGAAAUGCGAUAAGUAAUGUGAAUUGCAGAUUUCAGUGAAUCAUCGAAUCUUUGAACGCACCUUGCACCCUUUGGUAUUCCGAAGGGUAUGCCUGUUUGAGUGUCAUUAAAUUCUCAAACCUUCAACUUUAUUGUUGAAGGCUUUGGAUGUGGGAGUCUUGCUGGACGCUCUUGAGUGGUCAGCUCUCCUUAAAUGCAUUAGUGGUUACUGAUUCCACUACUUGGUGUUGAUAGUCUAUCUUACGCCCUGUAGUGAAGUCAACUUAUGUAUCUGCUUCUAACUGUCGCUCUUUUGUGACAAUUUAUUGACUAUUUGACCUCAAAUCAGGUAGGACUACCCGCUGAACUUAAGCAUAUCAAUAAGCGGAGGAAAAGAAACUAACAAGGAUUCCCCUAGUAACUGCGAGUGAAGCGGGAAAAGCUCAAAUUUAAAAUCUGGCGGUUCUUGUAGUCGUCCGAGUUGUAAUUUAGAGAAGUGCUAUCCACGCUGGACCGUAUACAAGUCUCCUGGAAUGGAGCGUCAUAGAGGGUGAGAAUCCCGUCUUUGAUACGGACUACCAGGGUAUUGUGAUGCGCUCUCGAAGAGUCGAGUUGUUUGGGAAUGCAGCUCAAAAUGGGUGGUAAAUUCCAUCUAAAGCUAAAUAUUGGCGAGAGACCGAUAGCGAACAAGUACCGUGAGGGAAAGAUGAAAAGAACUUUGGAAAGAGAGUUAAACAGUACGUGAAAUUGUUAAAAGGGAAACGCUUGAAGUCAGUCGCGUUGGCUUGGGAUCAACCUUGUUUUUUACUUGGUGUACUUCCUUGUCGAUGGGUCAACAUCAAUUUUGACUGCUGGAUAAAGAUUGAGGGAAUGUGGCAUCCUCGGAUGUGUUAUAGCCCUUAGUUGUAUACAGUGGUUGGGAUUGAGGAACUCAGCACGCCGCAAGGCCGGGUCUUGUACCACGUACGUGCUUAGGAUGUUGGCAUAAUGGCUUUAAUCGACCCGUCUUGAAACACGG
RNAcentral lists this ribosomal RNA (1014 nucleotides) under uncultured fungus. RNAcentral describes it as "eukaryotic LSU rRNA". The stretch from base 332 to 1014 matches the Rfam family "Eukaryotic large subunit ribosomal RNA", at positions 1 to 664 of the family's 3401-position model. The record is from RNAcentral. Lineage: Eukaryota; Fungi.